UACGAAGGGGGCUAGCGUUGCUCGGCAUUACUGGGCGUAAAGCGCACGUCGGCGGCUUCUUAAGUCGGUGGUGAAAUCCUGGAGCUCAACUCCAGAACUGCCUUCGAUACUGGGAAGCUCGAGUCCGGGAGAGGUGAGUGGAACUGCGAGUGUAGAGGUGAAAUUCGUAGAUAUUCGCAAGAACACCAGUGGCGAAGGCGGCUCACUGGCCCGGUACUGACGCUGAGGUGCGAAAGCGUGGGGAGCAAACAGG
This 253-nucleotide ribosomal RNA is filed under the name uncultured bacterium. RNAcentral's name for it is "partial 16S ribosomal RNA". It matches the Rfam family "Bacterial small subunit ribosomal RNA", at positions 524 to 776 of the family's 1533-position model. The record is from RNAcentral.